GUCCGUCUAGCUCAGUCGGUAGAGCGCAAGGCUCUUAACCUUGUGGUCCUGGGUUCAAGUCCCAGGGUGGGCG
This 73-nucleotide transfer RNA is filed under the name Ipomoea nil (Japanese morning glory). It matches the Rfam family "tRNA". From Rfam's summary of the family: Transfer RNA (tRNA) molecules are approximately 80 nucleotides in length. Their secondary structure includes four short double-helical elements and three loops (D, anti-codon, and T loops). The record is from Rfam by way of RNAcentral. Lineage: Eukaryota; Viridiplantae; Streptophyta; Magnoliopsida; Solanales; Convolvulaceae.